RNAcentral lists this long non-coding RNA (1550 nucleotides) under Capra hircus (goat). RNAcentral describes it as "lncRNA (ENSCHIG00000004206.1)". The record is from RNAcentral. Lineage: Eukaryota; Metazoa; Chordata; Mammalia; Artiodactyla; Bovidae.
CUGUCCUGGCUGGCAGCAGUUGCCAUAGCUACUUCCCUCUGACUACCCCCAAUCUAGAACUGGACUGGACAAUUCUGAAACUUACCAAGAGUUGCAAAUGCUACUUAGGCUAAUCUUGGGGCCAUUUCUGCAGCAGAGGAGUGUGGUCCUGCCCAAGUUCAAGGGACAAAAGGAGAGACAAUGGAGAAAUGGUCCAGAAAGAUCAAGUGUGAACACCCACAGAAAUGUAGGGCUAGAAGGACUCCAAAAGACAGCUGCUCCAACCUGACAUCUGAUGGAAAUGGAAUCAGAAAAACCAAGACUGAAAUGCCUUCAACUGCCUUUCCUAUGACCCUGUUUAAGUUACAUAAUUUCUCUGACCUCUGAGUUUUCCUUUGUGACACUUACCACACACUCAUAGUGAGGAUAAGAAGCUGCUGCCGUGACAUGCACAGUACGCCUAGUCCAUCAGAAUCAUCUGAGUGAUGGUAGCUAUCUUGCUCAUUCCCUGGGAAAGUGCUCAGAAACUCAGCGUUCUCCACCACCAUUUUCAGUUCUCUGCACGAAUGCAAUUAUUGCUGGGGUCCUAUCCAGCUCUGACAUUUGGGGCUCUCUCUGUCUAGGGCCAGGGUCACACACAAAUCAAUGGCCAGGCAGUAAGAUCAGUGAGAGAAGCUGGCACCCCCAAGUGUGAGGUCACAGAGCUGUGCAAUCCAUCUUGGCUAAAAGAUGCAUGUGAGCACAUGGGAGGACCCUGAGAUAUACCACGUAUGUACUCUGAACCAGGUAAAUCAAAAUGAUUGGCCAAAGGAAAACCAGAAGAAAUGCCCCAUAAAAGUGAUUCAAACUACCAUGAGGGCACAACUCGGGAACACUCUUGGAGUCUGUCUGUGUGUCUAUCCACAGCUGGGAGACGGUCGAGCUGAUGUACAGAACCAGAAGGGAGUGCUUUGCCAGCUGGUUGGGCAUGCUGACGCCAGCAUCUCUCGUGGUGGAUCAGAGAAGCCCAGGAAACUGUAGCCACAGCAGGGUCUGUCGGGUGUCCAACCUGUCUGAGAGAAUGCCUUUCCUUCAUCCCAACUCAGCAAGUCAUCCACAGUUCCAGAGGCAUCAACUGCCCCCUUGCUGACCUCUUAGAAACAUCUAGUCCUAGGAGCACCCCUGGGAGGCUCUUCCCGACUGUGCCCAAGCCUCCCUGUGCCCCCUAGCCCCUGCCGUAACACAGACCACACCACCAAUGAAGGUCCUAGUUCCUGACUUCCAGGAGAGCAUCUGUGGGAUGGGGACCAGCAUGGCUCCAGGGACCAGAAGGGCUGGAAAAUGAAUUUCCAGUUCCAAGAAGACACCCCAGGAACCCACCCUGGAUGCGUGCAGCACCAUGGCCACCUGCCCCCAUCCUCUGUAGUCUCCUUGCUGCCAGUCUUGGCCCCCUGCAGUCAGUCCAUUCUUCUCACCACAGCAGGCCCUGUGAACUUUAAAAAUUACCAGGCAAAGUCUAUGGCAUCCUUUGAAACCCUUCCUGUGCCCUUUCCAUGGCCCUCAAGGCCACAUAAAGAUCUGGCCUCACUCAC